GCUCUUCCGUUUUUUUUUCUUCCUUAACUUUAGGAGCACCGUAGACGUUGGACUUUGUGACAGUUAAUCAACAAUUGUUCAUUACCACAACAGAAUUCCUAGCUGCCCAUUAACUCAAGACCUUUUAUAAUGCUGUAAUGUAAUUUCUUUGCAGGCAUUUGGCCAUCCAAAAGAUGGAGUAUGCCUAAAAUACACUCUUGUUACGCCGACUAUUGCACGGUAGAUGGCAGCAGUACAGCAGCGCAAUGCUCGUCGACUGUAACUCAAAAAGAAGAACCUGCAGCUCAACCAUGUUUUAAUCGAGAACAAUUGCAUUUGGCGCACUGCAUGGCUUUCCUAUAAAGAAACCUUCUGAUUGUAUGUUGGGUUGUCCCCCUAGUUAAGAGCACAAUCAGCCCAGAUUCAACGUUAGGGUUUGCACACUGAGGACCAUGAUGGAGAGAAAACGAGCCUUAACCAUUCCAUUUGCUCUUGAGAAGGACAAAUUAAUAGAGAAUCCACUCAGAAUCCCCACAUCAUACCUUGAGUGUGAACGAUUUGAACAACAGGUUUCCUGGACUGCAAUUGCCGGCCAUAAAUCCAGACGACGUGAUUCACGACACAAGAAUGGAGCAGUGCUGUUUGACCAUAACCAUGCUGCUAUGGUUAGGUUGGGCUUGGCAGUGAGGAAGCCCCGUCUGAUUCUGACAGAUGUCCUCAAGACUGACGCGGGCAAGGUUUACAUGGAGAAGAUAAAACGGCGCCCAAAUGGGAAGGAGAGGAGAAGUCGUGGCAAAGAUCCACCCAUAGUCGCCAGGGACAGGCGGUCCAGUCAAACAAAAAACACAAACUUACUACCGAGUGUACCACCUAGGAUCAAGCAGACUCCCAAAUUAUCACGAUCAAGUCCAAGAUCUUCAAAAAAGGCACAAAUUGAGAAGGAGGAGGAUGGACAAGGAGAUAAUGACGUGGUAUCUGGUGAAAAUGGGAACGUUGAACUUGUGGAUUGUGGAUUGUCUCUGAGUUGGGAACAAGAAGAUCUAAAUUUAUCUAAAUGUAAGGCCAAAGAAACAUCGAAAGAACCAAAAAAGACAAUACAGCAGGUCAGAUGUGCUGAAGCCCCACUUUUCUUUGAUAAUUGUUCGUCGUUACAAAGACUUUUACAUUCACACCUUGCUAUGUUUUUACAGAAAAGGAAAACAAAUGACUCAUUUUCAGAAUGUCCUGAAACAGACAGCCCCAAACGCCCCAGGGCGAGUGUUUUGCGCCUCUCUGGAGUUGCGAAUAUGGAUGGAGAACCCACCCUUUUUCCAGAGAAAGAAGCAGAUGACAAGGAUUCGAAAAACACAGAUAGUCCUAUUGUGCAGUUUACUGUGGGAGGAGCAAAUGCAGAAACCACAAUGCCCGUGCCAGAGGAUAAUGGUGCAACCACUGACACAGCUGAACCUAUUGUUCUUUCCAGUGAUGAAGAAGACGGUGGGGAAAAAAUUGAGAAUCUGAAACCUAUCUCACAGAAGCCCUUGUUCCCCAACAGAUGCCAGAAGCUGUACAGGAUAUGCAGGUGUUUCAACUACCUGUGA
This is a long non-coding RNA of Neogobius melanostomus (round goby), 1559 nucleotides long. Lineage: Eukaryota; Metazoa; Chordata; Actinopteri; Gobiiformes; Gobiidae. The record is from Ensembl.